GUCACAGCUCACCCCCAUUCCUUCAUAAAUCACGUCCCACAGCCCACAACGCUACCGUGGCAUCAAAUCCGCCACCUUCAAACCACUUGUCAUUUCAUUCCGCAGAGUCCCACUUCCUCUCCCGCUCCCACAAAAAACCAUGGAAAAAGAACCCCCCCAACACCACCACCAUCACCACGACCACGACUACGACCACCAACACUCACCCCUCAAAUCCCCAUCCUCACCCACCUCCACCACCACCACCACCACAACCACCGCCGCAACCUGCUGCAAUUGCGGCGCCCCAACCAGUUACGCACCACCACCCACAUGGUCCGACACCUCCCCACCUCCAAACUACCGCCCAAUUCGCGCUCCGGCGAUCAACCUCCCCCCAAGCAGCCACACCCAACAAGCCAUAAUCCUCGCCCCGGUCCCACAUUCCCAAAAGGUCCCACUCGUCUCCCCACCUUACCAUUUCCAAACCCCAGCCAAAAAAAUCCAAUCCCCCGAAGAUCUCAACCACUUCCAGAACUCCGAUUCCGGCAAAAACUUCCUCGGCUUCGUCGUCGCUCUCUCAGAGUCAAUUCGCUCCCACAAACUCUCCGACCCUUGCCACCAAUCCGAAACCAUCAACUCCAUCGUCUCCAUUCUCGAAACCCUAAUCCAAUGGGUCGACGAAAUCCCUCCGGCUCAACAAACCGCUCGCUACGGCAACCUCUCGUACCGGACCUGGCACAGCCGCCUCACCGAAACCAGCGAUUCGCUGAUGCUCCAGUUCCUCCCGGCCGAUCUCCAAUCCGCCACGAUCGAGAUCGUCCCUUACUUCACCGAUAGCUUCGGGAACUCGAGCCGAAUCGAUUACGGUACCGGCCACGAGACCAACUUCGCGGCGUGGCUGUACUGCUUGGCUCGAUUGGGAGUCAUCAAGGAGGAGGAUUACCAGGCCGUGGUAGCUAGGGUUUUCGUGAAGUACCUGGAAUUGAUGAGGAAACUGCAAUUGGUUUAUUGCUUGGAGCCUGCUGGUUCUCAUGGCGUUUGGGGGCUCGAUGACUAUCAUUUCUUGCCGUUUAUCUUCGGCUCGUCACAGCUGAUCGAUCACCGGUACAUGAAGCCGAAAUCUAUUCAUAAUGAUGAUAUACUGGAGAAUUUCAAUAAGGAGUAUCUGUACAUUUCUUGCAUUGCAUUUGUGAAGAAGGUGAAGAAGGGUUUGUUCGCGGAGCAUUCGCCUUUGUUGGAUGAUAUUAGCGGUGUGCCUACUUGGAACAAAGUGAAUAGUGGGUUGCUGAAGAUGUAUAAAGUGGAGGUCUUAGAGAAAGUCCCCAUUAUGCAGCAUUUUCUGUUUGGCUGGCUCAUCAAAUGCUUUUAAGCCAAUAAGCUUUGGUUCAAGCGGCACUUCUGCCAAGUGUGGGGUGGAAGGUGAAGUCAUGGGUUCACAACUCAUUGAGUGGAGUAGCGUGGGUGUUUUGCUGUGGAAACAAGAAAAGUUAAGCUCACCAGGUUUCAUGCAACUAUAAACACAGAAUGUACCUAUGGUAGUAGGGAUGAAUUGUGUUUUCCUCCUCCUUUUUUAAUCUUUUAUGCAUUUUUGUUGCUAUAAAUAUUUCACAGAUAAUGGAAGUUUGGCGACAUUUAUUGAUUAGUUAAUGAGAUAGAUAUCCUUAUCUAUGUAGACAAAUUUGUGUUAAGCUAAGCUGCGGCUGCAUACUAUAGUGAGAUUCGGAAAUCCAGUACGGAUUGCAUUGA
This is an RNA transcript of Quercus lobata, 1728 nucleotides long. It is a transcript of the gene named phosphotyrosyl phosphatase activator (PTPA) family protein, with no coding region annotated. The record is from RefSeq and is a predicted model, not a curated record. The transcript has 3 exons. Lineage: Eukaryota; Viridiplantae; Streptophyta; Magnoliopsida; Fagales; Fagaceae.